RNAcentral lists this ribosomal RNA (403 nucleotides) under Verrucomicrobiota bacterium. Its description in RNAcentral is "Verrucomicrobia bacterium partial 16S ribosomal RNA". It matches the Rfam family "Bacterial small subunit ribosomal RNA", at positions 355 to 776 of the family's 1533-position model. Lineage: Bacteria; Pseudomonadati; Verrucomicrobiota. The record is from RNAcentral.
UGGGGAAUAUUGCACAAUGGGGGAAACCCUGAUGCAGCGACGCCGCGUGAGCGAAGAAGGCUUUUGAGUCGUAAAGCUCUGUCCUAUGAGAAGAUAAUGACGGUAUCAUAGGAGGAAGCCCUGGCUAAAUACGUGCCAGCAGCCGCGGUAAUACGUAUGGGGCGAGCGUUGUCCGGAAUUAUUGGGCGUAAAGGGUACGUAGGUGGUUUUUUAAGUCAGGUGUCAAAGCGUGGAGCUUAACUCCAUUAAGCACUUGAAACUGAAAGACUUGAGUGCAGGAGAGGAAAGUGGAAUUCCUAGUGUGGCGGUGAAAUGCGUGGAUAUUAGGAGGAAUACCGGUGGCGAAGGCGACUUUCUGGACUUUUACUGACGCUCAGGUACGAAAGCGUGGGGAGCAAACAGG